CCAGCCAGAUUCAGGACCUCCGUCAGUUCGGGGAGUUCGGCGAUGUAAAUCCUUCGGUCUGCGAUUCUGCCACUUUUACCUUUAUGCAGGCCAAGACCAUGUUAGACACCUUCCACGGAGAGGCGGAAGGCUGUUUUCUUUAUUCACGGCACUGGAAUCCCAGCAACAAGUAUCUGGCCGAUGCCAUGGCUGCCAUGGAAGGCACCGAAGCCGGCUGGGUAACCGGCAGCGGGAUGGGGGCCAUCACCUCAACGAUUCUCCAUCUGAUUAAAUGCGGCGAUCACAUUGUUUCAAGCAUUACCACUUAUGGCGGAACAUUUGCCUUUCUGGCAAACUAUCUUAAGAAAUUCAAUGUGGAAGUUUCUUUUGUGGAUAUAACUGAUCUGGAUGCGGUAAAAGCUGCAGUAAGGCCUAAUACAAAACUGAUCUAUACAGAGAGUAUGACCAAUCCUUUGCUUCAGAUUUCUGAUAUUCCGGCACUUGCUGAAAUUGCCAAUAAGCAUGGGAUCAAACUGGUGGUUGAUAAUACCUUUACUCCCAUGAUCAUCAGUCCGGCCAGGCUGGGCGCGCAUAUCGUGGUAUAUAGCCUGACGAAGUUUGUAAACGGAAAAAACG
This 615-nucleotide ribosomal RNA is filed under the name uncultured Kribbella sp. RNAcentral describes it as "partial 16S ribosomal RNA". Lineage: Bacteria; Bacillati; Actinomycetota; Actinomycetes; Propionibacteriales; Kribbellaceae. The record is from RNAcentral.